This 489-nucleotide ribosomal RNA is filed under the name uncultured bacterium. RNAcentral's name for it is "bacterial SSU rRNA". It matches the Rfam family "Bacterial small subunit ribosomal RNA", at positions 31 to 507 of the family's 1533-position model. The record is from RNAcentral.
GAACGCUAGCUACAGGCUUAACACAUGCAAGUCGAGGGGAAACGAUAUUGGAAGCUUGCUUCUGAUAGGCGUCGACCGGCGCACGGGUGAGUAACGCGUAUCCAACCUGCCCAUCACUUGGGGAUAACCUUGCGAAAGUAAGACUAAUACCCAAUGACGUCUCUAGAAGACAUCUGAAAGAGAUUAAAGAUUUAUCGGUGAUGGAUGGGGAUGCGUCUGAUUAGCUUGUUGGCGGGGUAACGGCCCACCAAGGCGACGAUCAGUAGGGGUUCUGAGAGGAAGGUCCCCCACAUUGGAACUGAGACACGGUCCAAACUCCUACGGGAGGCAGCAGUGAGGAAUAUUGGUCAAUGGACGAGAGUCUGAACCAGCCAAGUAGCGUGCAGGAAGACGGCCCUAUGGGUUGUAAACUGCUUUUAUAAGGGAAUAAAGUGAGUCUCGUGAGACUUUUUGCAUGUACCUUAUGAAUAAGGACCGGCUAAUUCCGUG